AGAUUAGAGUUUGAUCCUGGCUCAGCCUUUGACUUAAAAAAAUGGAAGUCGUAACAAGGUAACCGUAAGUGGUAACAAGGUAACCGUAGAGUUUGAUCAUGGCUCAGGAAAGUGGUACCAAGGUAGCCGUAGAGUUUGAUCCUGGCUCAGGAAAGUCGUAACAAGGUAACCGUAAGUCGUAACAAGGUAACCGUAGAGUCUGAUCCUGGCUCAGGCAAGUCGCAAUAAGGUAACCGUAGGUCGUAACAAGGUAGCCGUAGAGUUCGAUCCUGGCUCAGCCCCA
RNAcentral lists this ribosomal RNA (283 nucleotides) under uncultured bacterium. Its description in RNAcentral is "partial 16S ribosomal RNA". The record is from RNAcentral.